Molecule: ribosomal RNA, 119 nt
Filed under: Elusimicrobiaceae bacterium
Lineage: Bacteria; Pseudomonadati; Elusimicrobiota; Elusimicrobia; Elusimicrobiales; Elusimicrobiaceae
Description: partial 23S ribosomal RNA
Rfam family: Bacterial large subunit ribosomal RNA
Source: RNAcentral
UCCCUGGUAGAUUAACUACCCAGAAGACCCCCGGAAGACUACCGGGUUGAUAGGCAGAGUGUGUAAGCACAGUAAUGUGUUCAGCUAAUCUGUACUAAUCGGUCGUGAGGCUUGGCCGU